This 549-nucleotide ribosomal RNA is filed under the name uncultured bacterium. RNAcentral's name for it is "bacterial SSU rRNA". It matches the Rfam family "Bacterial small subunit ribosomal RNA", at positions 356 to 896 of the family's 1533-position model. The record is from RNAcentral.
AGGGAAUCUUCCGCAAUGGACGCAAGUCUGACGGAGCAACGCCGCGUGAGUGAAGAAGGUUUUCGGAUCGUAAAACUCUGUUGUUAGAGAAGAACAAGUGCUAGAGUAACUGUUAGCGCCUUGACGGUAUCUAACCAGAAAGCCACGGCUAACUACGUGCCAGCAGCCGCGGUAAUACGUAGGUGGCAAGCGUUGUCCGGAUUUAUUGGGCGUAAAGCGAGCGCAGGCGGUUCCUUAAGUCUGAUGUGAAAGCCCCCGGCUCAACCGGGGAGGGUCAUUGGAGACUGGGGAACUUGAGUGCAGAAGAGGAGAGUGGAAUUCCAUGUGUAGCGGUGAAAUGCGUAGAUAUAUGGAGGAACACCAGUGGCGAAGGCGACUCUCUGGUCUGUAACUGACGCUGAGGCUCGAAAGCGUGGGUAGCAAACAGGAUUAGAUACCCUGGUAGUCCACGCCGUAAACGAUGAGUGCUAAGUGUUGGAGGGUUUCCGCCCUUCAGUGCUGCAGUUAACGCAUUAAGCACUCCGCCUGGGGAGUACGACCGCAAGGUUG